RNAcentral lists this ribosomal RNA (442 nucleotides) under uncultured bacterium. Its description in RNAcentral is "partial 16S ribosomal RNA". It matches the Rfam family "Bacterial small subunit ribosomal RNA", at positions 338 to 795 of the family's 1533-position model. The record is from RNAcentral.
CCUACGGGAGGCAGCAGUGGGGAAUAUUGGGCAAUGGGCGCAAGCCUGACCCAGCAAUGCCGCGUGAAGGAAGAAGGCUUUCGGGUUGUAAACUUCUUUUACCGGGGACGAGGAAAGUGCGGUACCCUGAAAACAAGGCACGGCUAACUACGUUCCAGCAGCCCCGGUAAUACGUAGGUGGCAAGCGUUGUCCGGAUUUACUGGGUGUAAAGGGCGUGUAGCCGGGAAGGCAAGUCAGAUGUGAAAUCUGGAGGCUCAACCUCCAAAUUGCAUUUGAAACUGUUUGUCUUGAGUACUGGAGAGGCAGACGGAAUUCCUUGUGUAGCGGUGAAAUGCGUAGAUAUAAGGAGGAACACCAGUGGCGAAGGCGGUCUGCUGGACAGCAACUGACGGUGAGGCGCGAAAGCGUGGGGAGCAAACAGGAUUAGAUACCCCAGUAGUC